This 454-nucleotide long non-coding RNA is filed under the name Populus trichocarpa (black cottonwood). RNAcentral describes it as "long non-coding RNA (PTRI_LNC001094)". Lineage: Eukaryota; Viridiplantae; Streptophyta; Magnoliopsida; Malpighiales; Salicaceae. The record is from RNAcentral.
GACAUCACCAAACGCUCACGUAAUAUUUUCGCCCCACCCCCCUUUUCGUCUUUUUCCGUCAUAUUUAGCUCAGAUAUAUAACUACCCCCCCCAACUAUUUUGCUUCAGACCCCCCCCGUCGACGAAGAGGAGGAUCCUCAGACCCCCCCGUCUCCCAGCCGAAGAGGAGGAUCCUCAGACCUCCCCCGUCGACGAAGAGGAGGAUCCUCAGACCCCCCCGUCUGAGCUAAUAUGUUGCUCAGCCGAAGAGGAGGAUCCUCAGACCCUUGCUCAGACGAAGAGGAGGAUCCUCAGACCCCCCCGUCUGAGCAAAUAUGUUGCUCAGCCGAAGAGGAGGAUCCUCAGACCCCCCCGUCUCCCAGACGAAGAGGAGGAUCCUCAGACCCCCCGUCUGAGCAAAUAUGUUGCUCAGCCGAAGAGGAGGAUCCUCAGACCCCCCCGUCUGAGCUAAUAU